RNAcentral lists this ribosomal RNA (501 nucleotides) under uncultured Glomeromycotina. RNAcentral describes it as "partial small subunit ribosomal RNA". It matches the Rfam family "Eukaryotic small subunit ribosomal RNA", at positions 591 to 1092 of the family's 1831-position model. The record is from RNAcentral. Lineage: Eukaryota; Fungi; Glomeromycota.
CCAAUAGCGUAUAUUAAAGUUGUUGCAGUUAAAAAGCUCGUAGUUGAAUUUCGGGAUCAAUAUUUCGGUCAUGCCGUUGGUAUGCACUGUUAUAAUUGAUUUCUCACCUUCUAAAGAACCGUAAUGCCAUUAAUUUGGUGUUACGGGGAAUUAGGACUGUUACCUUGAAAAAAUUAGAGUGUUUAAAGCAGGCUCACGCUUGAAUACAUUAGCAUGGAAUAAUGAAAUAGGACAUCCGAUUCUAUUUUGUUGGUUUCUAGGAUAGAUGUAAUGAUUAAUAGGGAUAGUUGGGGGCAUUAUUAUUCAAUUGUCAGAGGGGAAAUUCUUGGAUUUAUUGAAAACUAAAUACUGCGAAAGCGUUUGCCAAGGAUGUUUUCAUUAAUAAAAAACGAAAGUUAGGGGAUCGAAGACGAUCAGAUACCGUCGUAGUCUUAACCAUAAACUAUGCCGACUAGGGAUCGGAUGAUGUUAAUUUUUUAAUGACUCAUUCGGCGCCUUACG